This 253-nucleotide ribosomal RNA is filed under the name uncultured bacterium. Its description in RNAcentral is "partial 16S ribosomal RNA". It matches the Rfam family "Bacterial small subunit ribosomal RNA", at positions 524 to 776 of the family's 1533-position model. The record is from RNAcentral.
CACGGAGGGUGCAAGCGUUAUCCGGAUUCACUGGGUUUAAAGGGUGCGUAGGCGGGCAGGUAAGUCCGUGGUGAAAUCUCUGAGCUUAACUCAGAAACUGCCAUGGAUACUAUUUGUCUUGAAUGUUGUUGGAGGUAAGCGGAAUAUGUCAUGUAGCGGUGAAAUGCUUAGAUAUGACAUAGAACACCAAUUGCGAAGGCAGCUUACUACACAAAUAUUACGCUGAGGCACGAAAGCGUGGGGAUCAAACAGG